This is a non-coding RNA of Myotis brandtii (Brandt's bat), 76 nucleotides long. The record is from Rfam. Lineage: Eukaryota; Metazoa; Chordata; Mammalia; Chiroptera; Vespertilionidae.
GAGACACCCUUAUGGAGCAGAACUUGCUUCAGUGGGGCUUUGGUGCUCACUGAGGCUGCCCCUUGAGUGUGUCGCU